GACGAACGCUGGCGGCGUGCUUAACACAUGCAAGUCGAACGGUGAAGCGCCUUCCUUUUUGGUGGGUGUGGAUGAGUGGCGAACGGGUGAGUAACACGUGAGUAACCUGCCCCCUUCUUCUGGAUAACCGCAUGAAAGUGUGGCUAAUACGGGAUAUUCUGGGUCUGUCGCAUGAUGGGUCUGGGAAAGAUAUUGUUUCGGUGGGGGAUGGGCUCGCGGCCUAUCAGCUUGUUGGUGGGGUGAUGGCCUACCAAGGCGGUGACGGGUAGCCGGCCUGAGAGGGUGGACGGUCACACUGGGAAUGAGACACGGCCCAGACUCCUACGGGAGGCAGCAGUGGGGAAUAUUGCACAAUGGGGGCAAGCAUGAUGCAGCGACGCCGCGUGAGGGAUGGAGGCCUUCGGGUUGUGAACCUCUUUCGCCAGUGAAGCAGGCCUGCCUCGUUUGUGGGUGGGUUGACGGUAGCUGGAUAAGAAGCGCCGGCUAACUACGUG
RNAcentral lists this ribosomal RNA (494 nucleotides) under uncultured bacterium. RNAcentral's name for it is "partial 16S ribosomal RNA". It matches the Rfam family "Bacterial small subunit ribosomal RNA", at positions 28 to 507 of the family's 1533-position model. The record is from RNAcentral.